This 253-nucleotide ribosomal RNA is filed under the name uncultured bacterium. RNAcentral's name for it is "partial 16S ribosomal RNA". It matches the Rfam family "Bacterial small subunit ribosomal RNA", at positions 524 to 776 of the family's 1533-position model. The record is from RNAcentral.
GACGGAGGAUGCAAGCGUUAUCCGGAAUGAUUGGGCGUAAAGCGUCCGCAGGUGGCAGUUCAAGUCUGCUGUCAAAGACCGGGGCUUAACUUCGGAAAGGCAGUGGAAACUGAACAGCUAGAGUAUGGUAGGGGCAGAGGGAAUUCCUGGUGUAGCGGUGAAAUGCGCAGAUAUCAGGAGGAACACCGAUGGCGAAGGCAGUGUUCUGGGCCAGUACUGACGCUGAGGAGCGAAAGCGUGGGGAGCAAACAGG